UGUAUAACACUUGUGCUGCUGUUAAUGGUUGUAUAUUGUGUAGUGUGGUUUGCUGAUUGCUGAUGCGGUUGCGUGUGCAUUAACUGUUAAUGAUGUUUAAUGCAUCUUUGUUUGGUGUUUGUGGAGUUAACUCAGGCUAUAAAAGAUAAAAGAUGGCAGAGCAGCUCAUACACACCAUCAUCAUCUCCUGAUGAGCAGCGUCUUCAGUCUUCAGUCUGAUUCCCGUGUGUGCAGUGAAUGAAGAGCUCAGUGGAAACUUGUGAAACAUCUGUCAGUCUGUGUGUUAUUCCACAAACUUCUGCUUUGACCUGCAGACCAAACACACACUCCUGUCAGUAACUGCCCGUCAAGAUUUCAUGAAACAAUGGCAGAACAAAACGCCAGCAUCAACGGAUCAAGUGGAGGAGAUUAUUAUAUCAGCGGAUCAAGU
This is a non-coding RNA of Pimephales promelas (fathead minnow), 430 nucleotides long. Lineage: Eukaryota; Metazoa; Chordata; Actinopteri; Cypriniformes; Leuciscidae. The record is from RefSeq and is a predicted model, not a curated record.